Molecule: long non-coding RNA, 614 nt
Filed under: Nicotiana tabacum (common tobacco)
Lineage: Eukaryota; Viridiplantae; Streptophyta; Magnoliopsida; Solanales; Solanaceae
Description: long non-coding RNA (NTAB_LNC013901)
Source: RNAcentral
CGCCAGAUCCCUCCUCCGCUCCGCCACUACCUCCGGCCGAACAGCCGCCGUUAGACUUUCCGGUAGUUCCAAACCAAAGGCCUCUCCCUCCCCCAUUCGUAUCCCUUCACAGAAACCACUCACCGCUCGCAUUUUCAGGUCAUUAUCCGAAAACAUUGUUUUCAAUUUUUGCAUAUAUAUAUAUAUAUAUCUAUAUCCAUAUCUAUAUCUAUAUAUAUAUCUAUCUAUCUAUCUAUAUAUAUAUAUAUACACAAAAAAAAAAAACAUAUAUAUACUCUCCGUUUCAUUUUAUGUGGCGCAUUUUACUGUUAAUAUAUUAAAAAAGAAUAACAUAUUUAUAUAUUUAGAAAUAAUUUAACUUUAAAAAUUACUUUUUUCCUUUAAUGAAAUGUUUUGUAUCUACACAAAUGUGUAUGACUUGUUUUAGACCAUAAAUUGGGACGGAUGGAGUAUAAAUUUUCACCAAGAAUAUUUAUCAUUAAUUGUUUCUAUAUAAUAUUGAACCAGAUACAUUUUUUCCUUAUAUUUUGUAGGUCACCUGUUGAAAUGAGCUGUAUAAGAGUGGAAACGUUGUUUCCAUAUCACACUGCUACUGCCUCUGCUUUGCUGAAUUC